Molecule: long non-coding RNA, 994 nt
Organism: Pezoporus occidentalis (night parrot)
Lineage: Eukaryota; Metazoa; Chordata; Aves; Psittaciformes; Psittacidae
Exons: 2
Source: RefSeq, a predicted model, not a curated record
AGCUUAAGCAAGUUAACUAGAACUUAAUUUAUAGAGAUGCUGACUACCCGCUGCCCUCAGUGACUGAAAUUAAGCUCAACACCUGUGAAAGUUUAACGCUUAAUCUUGAUCCUAGCUAGCUUAAAUGUGUGUGUGUGAAAUACAAGGUCCUUCUAUUUACCUGUAUCCUUCAGAGAAAGAACAUACAACUACUACUGUAGGGUUGAAACUCAAAAAUCUUUUCUGAUUUUGAUAAUAUCCUGUAAAAGAAAGGAGCACAGGCACAUAUAUAUUUUGCAGUCAAUCUAUACUGUAGAAUCUAGUGUAGGCAAAGAUAGUUGCUUACACAACUCUUGAACACUUGCCACAGAAGACCUGUUGAAGUAUGAUGUGGGUUUUACACAGACGUAAAGCUUCUGCUGAAGGAGGGCAAAUUCCAGCUAUCUGGAAAAAGUCUGUUUGUCACCAGAAUACACCAAAAAGGAACAUCUAAGAGAGACUGCCACAAUUUCUAGUCUUCGUUGCAGCAAUAAUCAUCAUGGUCCAAGGAUACAAACAGAGCAAAGUUUGCAUACAGGAAUGUUUUAUUUAGACAGAGCUUUCAGGCACUUGAGCUCUUUUCCAGCUGUAAUUAAACAAAACAAAAACUUUACCUACAAGCCUCAUCUUGCAACAGGUCUUAACUGCUCUGGUAAAGGCUCAAGUAUUCAACAUGUUGGCUCCUCUGUAUGAAGCCUUGAUGAUAUCAUAGAAUCAUAGAAUAAGACAGGAGCUCUCCUUAGUGUUACUACUAUAGGAUCACUUGCAGAAUUUUUAAUAGAAACUUUACAGAUAUUUUUGUAACUCAGUCUUGAGAAAAAUCACUGAAACCACCUUUAAAACUAAUUAUGGUCAAAUUUGAAGCCAAAAUCACAAUCCGAAUUUUGUAGAAAAGCUAUUUAAAACCUGUGAGUUGCUCAGCUGAAAGGUGAAAUAAAAAGUUAUCUGUAUUUUCUCACCCUUUUUGUUUUCACAG